This 514-nucleotide ribosomal RNA is filed under the name uncultured Glomus. RNAcentral describes it as "SSU rRNA". It matches the Rfam family "Eukaryotic small subunit ribosomal RNA", at positions 569 to 1084 of the family's 1831-position model. The record is from RNAcentral. Lineage: Eukaryota; Fungi; Glomeromycota; Glomeromycetes; Glomerales; Glomeraceae.
AGCAGCCGCGGUAAUUCCAGCUCCAAUAGCGUAUAUUAAAGUUGUUGCAGUUAAAAAGCUCGUAGUUGAAUUUCGGGAUCAAUUUGCUGGUCGUGCCUUCGGUACGCACUGGUAUUAUUGGUUUCUCCUUUCUGAUGAAUCGCGAUGUCAUUAAUUUGGUGUCGUGGGGAAUCAGGACCGUUACUUUGAAAAAAUUAGAGUGUUUAAAGCAGGCUCACGCUUGAAUACAUUAGCAUGGAAUAAUGAAAUAGGACGUUUGAUUCUAUUUUGUUGGUUUCUAGGAUCGACGUAAUGAUUAAUAGGGAUAGUUGGGGGCAUUAGUAUUCAAUUGUCAGAGGUGAAAUUCUUGGAUUUAUUGAAGACUAACUACUGCGAAAGCAUUUGCCAAGGAUGUUUUCAUUAAUCAAGAACGAAAGUUAGGGGAUCGAAGACGAUCAGAUACCGUCGUAGUCUUAACCAUAAACUAUGCCGACUAGGGAUCGGAUGAUGUUAAUUUUUAAUGUACUCAUUCGGC